RNAcentral lists this transfer RNA (83 nucleotides) under Candidatus Omnitrophota bacterium. RNAcentral's name for it is "tRNA-Leu". It matches the Rfam family "tRNA". From Rfam's summary of the family: Transfer RNA (tRNA) molecules are approximately 80 nucleotides in length. Their secondary structure includes four short double-helical elements and three loops (D, anti-codon, and T loops). Lineage: Bacteria; Pseudomonadati; Candidatus Omnitrophota. The record is from RNAcentral.
GGGCAAGUGGUGGAAUGGCAUACACGAAGGACUUAAAAUCCUUUGGCCGUAAGGCCGUGUGGGUUCGACUCCCACCUUGCCCA